CGCUGGCGGCGUGCUUAACACAUGCAAGUCGAACGGUGAAGCAGAGCUUGCUCUGUGGAUCAGUGGCGAACGGGUGAGUAACACGUGAGCAACCUGCCCCUGACUCUGGGAUAAGCGCUGGAAACGGCGUCUAAUACCGGAUAUGAGCUGCGAUCGCAUGGUCGGCAGUUGGAAAGAUUUUUCGGUCUGGGAUGGGCUCACGGCCUAUCAGCUUGUUGGUGAGGUAAUGGCUCACCAAGGCGUCGACGGGUAGCCGGCCUGAGAGGGUGACCGGCCACACUGGGACUGAGACACGGCCCAGACUCCUACGGGAGGCAGCAGUGGGGAAUAUUGCACAAUGGGCGGAAGCCUGAUGCAGCAACGCCGCGUGAGGGAUGACGGCCUUCGGGUUGUAAACCUCUUUUAGCAGGGAAGAAGCGAAAGUGACGGUACCUGCAGAAAAAGCGCCGGCUAACUACGUGCCAGCAGCCGCGGUAAUACGUAGGGCGCAAGCGUUAUCCGGAAUUAUUGGGCGUAAAGAGCUCGUAGGCGGUUUGUCGCGUCUGCUGUGAAAUCCCGAGGCUCAACCUCGGGUCUGCAGUGGGUACGGGCAGACUAGAGUGCGGUAGGGGAGAUUGGAAUUCCUGGUGUAGCGGUGGAAUGCGCAGAUAUCAGGAGGAACACCGAUGGCGAAGGCAGAUCUCUGGGCCGUUACUGACGCUGAGGAGCGAAAGGGUGGGGAGCAAACAGGCUUAGAUACCCUGGUAGUCCACCCCGUAAACGUUGGGAACUAGUUGUGGGGUCCAUUCCACGGAUUCCGUGACGCAGCUAACGCAUUAAGUUCCCCGCCUGGGGAGUACGGCCGCAAGGCUAAAACUCAAAGGAAUUGACGGGGACCCGCACAAGCGGCGGAGCAUGCGGAUUAAUUCGA
RNAcentral lists this ribosomal RNA (910 nucleotides) under Microbacterium oleivorans. Its description in RNAcentral is "bacterial SSU rRNA". It matches the Rfam family "Bacterial small subunit ribosomal RNA", at positions 34 to 954 of the family's 1533-position model. The record is from RNAcentral. Lineage: Bacteria; Bacillati; Actinomycetota; Actinomycetes; Micrococcales; Microbacteriaceae.